AGAGUUUGAUCCUGGCUCACAUUGAACGCUGGCGGCAUGCUUUACACAUGCAAGUCGAACGGCAGCACGGGAGCAAUCCUGGUGGCGAGUGGCGAACGGGUGAGUAAUGUAUCGGAACGUGCCUAUUAGUGGGGGAUAACGCAGCGAAAGUUGCGCUAAUACCGCAUACGCCCUGAGGGGGAAAGUGGGGGACCGCAAGGCCUCACGCUAAUAGAGCGGCCGAUAUCUGAUUAGCUAGUUGGUGAGGUAAAGGCUCACCAAGGCUUCGAUCAGUAGCUGGUCUGAGAGGACGAUCAGCCACACUGGGACUGAGACACGGCCCAGACUCCUACGGGAGGCAGCAGUGGGGAAUUCUGGACAAUGGGGGCAACCCUGAUCCAGCAAUGCCGCGUGAGUGAAGAAGGCCUUCGGGUUGUAAAGCUCUUUUGUCAGGGAAGAAACAGCAGCUCUAACACAGCUGUGAAUGACGGUACCUGAAGAGUAAGCACCGGCUAACUACGUGCCAGCAGCCGCGGUAAUACGUAGGGUGCAAGCGUUAAUCGGAAUUACUGGGCGUAGAGCGUGCGCAGGCGGUUAUAUAAGACAGGUGUGAAAUCCCCGGGCUUAACCUGGGAAUUGCAUCUGUGACUGUAUAGCUAGAGUGUGUCAGAGGGGGGUAGAAUUCCACGUGUAGCAGUGAAAUGCGUAGAUAUGUGGAGGAAUACUAAUGGCGAAGGCAGCCCCCUGGGAUAACACUGACGCUCAUGCACGAAAGCGUGGGGAGCAGACAGGAUUAGAUACCCUGGUAGUCCACGCCCUAAACGACGCUGACUAGUUGUUCGGGAUUUAUCCUGAGUAACGUAGCUAACGCGUGGAGUCAGCCGCCUGGGGAGUACGGUCGCAGAUUAAACUCAACGGAAUUGACGGG
RNAcentral lists this ribosomal RNA (907 nucleotides) under uncultured beta proteobacterium. RNAcentral's name for it is "bacterial SSU rRNA". It matches the Rfam family "Bacterial small subunit ribosomal RNA", at positions 8 to 917 of the family's 1533-position model. The record is from RNAcentral. Lineage: Bacteria; Pseudomonadati; Pseudomonadota; Betaproteobacteria.